Molecule: ribosomal RNA, 464 nt
Filed under: uncultured Cardiobacterium sp.
Lineage: Bacteria; Pseudomonadati; Pseudomonadota; Gammaproteobacteria; Cardiobacteriales; Cardiobacteriaceae
Description: bacterial SSU rRNA
Rfam family: Bacterial small subunit ribosomal RNA
Source: RNAcentral
CCUACGGGGGGCAGCAGUGGGGAAUAUUGGACAAUGGGGGGAACCCUGAUCCAGCAAUGCCGCGUGUGUGAAGAAGGCCUUCGGGUUGUAAAGCACUUUCAGUAGGGAGGAAAGGUGCGUAGUUAAUACCUGCGCAAUUGACGUUACCUACAGAAGAAGCACCGGCUAACUCCGUGCCAGCAGCCGCGGUAAUACGGAGGGUGCGAGCGUUAUUCGGAAUUACUGGGCGUAAAGCGCACGCAGGCGGUUGCCCAAGUCAGAUGUGAAAGCCCCGGGCUUAACCUGGGAACUGCAUUUGAAACUGGGCGACUAGAGUAUGAAAGAGGAAAGCGGAAUUUCCAGUGUAGCAGUGAAAUGCGUAGAUAUUGGAAGGAACACCGAUGGCGAAGGCAGCUUUCUGGGUCGAUACUGACGCUCAUGUGCGAAAGCGUGGGGAGCAAACAGGAUUAGAUACCCCGGUAGUC